AAUCAACGCUGGCGGCGUGCCUAACACAUGCAAGUCGGACGUGAAAGGGGUUUCGGCCCUGAGUAGCGUGGCGGACGGGUGAGGAACGCGUGGGUGACCUGCCCUGCAGGGGGGGAUAACCCUCCGAAAGGGGGGCUAAUACCGCAUGAGCCCGAGAGGGGAAAGACGGUGAGUCGCUGCGGGAGGGGCCUGCGUCCGAUUAGCUGGUUGGUGGGGUAAGAGCCCACCAAGGCGACGAUUGGUAGCCGACUUGAGAGAGUGAUCGGCCACACUGGAACUGAGACACGGUCCAGACUCCUACGGGAGGCAGCAGUGGGGAAUAUUGGGCAAUGGAGGAAACUCUUACCCAGCAAUGCCGCGUGAGUGAAGAAGGUCUUCGGAUUGUAAAGCUCUUUGAUUGGGGACGAAUUAAUGACGGUACCCAAGGAACAAGCCCCGGCUAACUAUGUG
RNAcentral lists this ribosomal RNA (450 nucleotides) under uncultured bacterium. RNAcentral's name for it is "bacterial SSU rRNA". It matches the Rfam family "Bacterial small subunit ribosomal RNA", at positions 29 to 507 of the family's 1533-position model. The record is from RNAcentral.